RNAcentral lists this ribosomal RNA (472 nucleotides) under uncultured bacterium. RNAcentral's name for it is "bacterial SSU rRNA". It matches the Rfam family "Bacterial small subunit ribosomal RNA", at positions 30 to 514 of the family's 1533-position model. The record is from RNAcentral.
AUUGAACGCUGGCGGCAUGCUUUACACAUGCAAGUCGAACGGCAGCACGGGGGCAACCCUGGUGGCGAGUGGCGAACGGGUGGGUAAUAUAUCGGAACGUACCCGGAAAUGGGGGAUAACGUAGCGAAAGUUACGCUAAUACCGCAUAUGCCCUAAGGGGGAAAGCGGGGGAUUCGCAAGAACCUCGCGUUUUCGGAGCGGCCGAUAUCGGAUUAGCUAGUAGGUGAGGUAAAGGCUCACCUAGGCGACGAUCCGUAGCUGGUCUGAGAGGACGACCAGCCACACUGGAACUGAGACACGGUCCAGACUCCUACGGGAGGCAGCAGUGGGGAAUAUUGGACAAUGGGCGAAAGCCUGAUCCAGCCAUGCCGCGUGAGUGAUGAAGGCCCUAGGGUUGUAAAGCUCUUUCUAACGGUGAAGAUAAUGACGGUAACCGUAGAAGAAGCCCCCGGCUAAACCUUCGUGCCAGCAG